CCUACGGGGUGCAGCAGUGGGGAAUAUUGCACAAUGGGGGAAACCCUGAUGCAGCGACGCCGCGUGAGCGAUGAAGUAUUUCGGUAUGUAAAGCUCUAUCAGCAGGGAAGAAAAUGCCGGUACCUGACUAAGAAGCCCCGGCUAACUACGUGCCAGCAGCCGCGGUAAUACGUAGGGGGCGAGCGUUCUCCGGAUUUACUGGGUGUAAAGGGAGCGUAGACGGCGAUGCAAGCCAGAUGUGAAAGCCCGGGGCUCAACCCCGGGACUGCAUUUGGAACUGUGUGGCUGGAGUGUCGGAGGGGCAGGCGGAAUUCCUGGUGUAGCGGUGAAAUGCGUAGAUAUUAGGAGGAACACCAGUGGCGAAGGCGGCCUGCUGGACGGUGACUGACGUUGAGGCUCGAAAGCGUGGGGAGCAAACAGGAUUAGAUACCCUGGUAGUC
Molecule: ribosomal RNA, 440 nt
Filed under: uncultured bacterium
Lineage: Bacteria
Description: partial 16S ribosomal RNA
Rfam family: Bacterial small subunit ribosomal RNA
Source: RNAcentral